Molecule: non-coding RNA, 72 nt
Organism: Aedes albopictus (Asian tiger mosquito)
Lineage: Eukaryota; Metazoa; Arthropoda; Insecta; Diptera; Culicidae
Source: Rfam
GGCUCGGUAGCUAAGUUGGAAAAGCACUUGUCUAGCGAAUAAGGGUCGUGAGUUCAAAUCUCACCUGAGCUG